This 253-nucleotide ribosomal RNA is filed under the name uncultured bacterium. RNAcentral describes it as "partial 16S ribosomal RNA". It matches the Rfam family "Bacterial small subunit ribosomal RNA", at positions 524 to 776 of the family's 1533-position model. The record is from RNAcentral.
UACGAGGGGUGCAAGCGUUAAUCGGAAUUACUGGGCGUAAAGCGUGCGUAGGCGGCUUUUUAAGUCGGAUGUGAAAUCCCCGGGCUCAACCUGGGAAUGGCAUCCGAUACUGGGGAGCUGGAGUUUGGGAGAGGGUGGUGGAAUUCCCGGUGUAGCGGUGAAAUGCGUAGAGAUCGGGAGGAACAUCAGUGGCGAAGGCGGCCUCCUGGCCUAAAACUGACGCUGAGGCUCGAAAGCGUGGGGAGCAAACAGG